GACGAACGCUGGCGGCGUGCCUAAUACAUGCAAGUAGAACGCUGAAGGAGGAGCUUGCUCUUCUGGAUGAGUUGCGAACGGGUGAGUAACGCGUAGGUAACCUGCCUGGUAGCGGGGGAUAACUAUUGGAAACGAUAGCUAAUACCGCAUAACAGUAGAUGUUGCAUGACAUUUACUUAAAAGGUGCAAUUGCAUCACUACCAGAUGGACCUGCGUUGUAUUAGCUAGUUGGUGGGGUAACGGCUCACCAAGGCGACGAUACAUAGCCGACCUGAGAGGGUGAUCGGCCACACUGGGACUGAGACACGGCCCAGACUCCUACGGGAGGCAGCAGUAGGGAAUCUUCGGCAAUGGACGGAAGUCUGACCGAGCAACGCCGCGUGAGUGAAGAAGGUUUUCGGAUCGUAAAGCUCUGUUGUAAGAGAAGAACGAGUGUGAGAGUGGAAAGUUCACACCGUGACGGUAUCUUACCAGAAAGGGACGGCUAACUACGUG
This 495-nucleotide ribosomal RNA is filed under the name uncultured bacterium. RNAcentral describes it as "partial 16S ribosomal RNA". It matches the Rfam family "Bacterial small subunit ribosomal RNA", at positions 28 to 507 of the family's 1533-position model. The record is from RNAcentral.